Mirounga angustirostris (Northern elephant seal) is the source of this 2984-nucleotide long non-coding RNA. RefSeq lists it as uncharacterized. NCBI's taxonomy places the organism in Eukaryota, Metazoa, Chordata, Mammalia, Carnivora, Phocidae. The transcript has 4 exons. The record is from RefSeq and is a predicted model, not a curated record.
GCUGGUGAGCAGCUGUUGUCCAUCUCCUGGAGCCAAGCGGGGAGCUCAGGCUGCAGUAGACAGCCAUAUCUGGUAGAGGCCAAAGGGAAACGGCCUGCUGAUUAUUGGGCUGCCGUGAAAACUUCACCCUGGAGGUCUUUCACAAACAGGAUAGAGUUUCAUCUUUCUGGAAUGUGUUAGAGCAGCAAGACCUACCCGACCUCUCUGCCCAGGUGAAAUUCAUCUUCCAUGAAGGACUGGGCCCCACGUCUGAGCUGCACAGACCUACAUAGACCUCCACGGAUAGAACAUAGAGCCCCAUCCAUGGUUGCUAAGGCCUUGAACGACUAUCUUUCUCCAGGGAGAUGGAUCUUGAAACUUAGUGCUGCAUAGUAUACCAUAAAAUGGAUAUAUUCCUUCAUUAGUGGACAUUUAAGUUAUUUCCAGUUUUAAAAAACAUGAUAAAAACGACUGCGAGGUACUCAAAAUCAUGAUCACAAGGCCUACUGGAGAGAAGCAGCUGGGUCCAAGACCACUAGGAUUUGUCAACAAUUUAUUUCUCAAGGAGCCCUCUGAGCACUGGGAGCUUAUCUGAGGGGAUUUUCUACCUGAACCCAGUUAUUGCACAGACCCACAGAGAAGCUCAUGUCUUGUCUUUCUUUUCAUGUGAGAGAGGAGAAAAGAAAUGAAGGAUUCAGCCUCUGAAAUCUGAUUGCCCGACUCUCCUGGAGAAGGUGAGGCUGUCCCUGGCCAUGGUAACCUGCCCCACACUCCAGUCAUCUCCAGGACGUUCUUGAACAUUCCACGUGGACACUCCUGUCUGGGCCUGUCCACCUGCGCUCAGCAGCUGUAGAAAUGCACCUCUGCCAAUUUCUGUCGAAUGACCAGGGCUGGCCAACUUUACACUUCUCCAGUGAUCUCUCGGUUCUUUCCUUGCCAGGCUAAAUAAUCUUGUUUCCCAUAACUAAUUUUACAACCCAGUCAUUACGCUUCUUUUGAAAUCACUCUGAGCAUCUCUCAAUUUCUUGAGCCUCUGUUACAUAACAAGAGGCUAAGCCCUAAGUACACAGAGACCAGUGAAAAGAUCGCCAUGUGGCUUCCCUGCUUUCUUGCUUGGGUCCCUGUCGAACACUCAGGCAAGUCUCUUAGAUGUUGUUUUUUGCAGUUUACAGAGCACCACCAUCCCCUCGACCUCAGUCCAUCAGGUCUCUUUAGUGUCUUAUUAUUUCCACUGAUUCAGGGUAAGCUUGGCCCACUGUGGUCUUUAUUUAGAUCAUCUCUAUUAUACCUGUGGGUAGAUCCUGUAAGCAGGCCUUGGCACGGCUUUAUUUGUGGGUUUCCUUUUAAAAGGUCACUGUGAAACAGGAAAUGUGACUAAGAAAAUCUUCUUCUUCCAUGAAACCCUCUUCAUUAACUGGAAAAAGGCACCCGUUCCCUCUCCCCCAGUACUUACUCAUGGCCCAAAUAGACACAUUUCAAAAGAACACAUAGUUCCCAAAACACUGAAAAGUGCACCGUAAGGCUCACGUGUGAGGCGAGUGGUUAUUUGUCAGGUUGGCGCUGUCUGGGGCCGUCCUCAUGCCGACACGUGCUGACUGUCCCCGUUCUUCAUAAUGUCUGAGGACGGAUGGGAGCCUGGGAGGGCCGGGAGGCCUCGUGGCUGACUGAGGAGGGGCGUGCAGCUUAGGAGCCAGAACAGUUGGGGGUGCUCCCCUGGAUAAAGGCCGAGGCAGAUGGGACCCCGUGUCUCCUGGCCCUGCAGCCACAUUUACCCAGUUAAACCACACGCCCAUCUCCUUUAGCUUCUGGAAGGGCCCCCUGCAUCUUUCUUCCUGUCUAGAAGCCAGGUGAUGCUGCAGUGGGGGGACACGGGCUUGCCAGGAGGGGCCCUGGGCACACAGUUCAGGCCUCCUGAUGGGGCUUCCUUGAGGAGGCCGUCGUGGCUGUCCUUGGGAUCACCUGCUUUGCAACCUCGCUUCGCUUUCCUCAGCCAUACAUUAGAAAAACAAUAGUAUAGCUUAUGAGGAGAUGAAAAUACGUUAAAACACAGAAGGCGUCCAGGACAGUCUUGAUCUGCCACCCCUCUGUAAUGUUAGUUAUUAGUCUGAUGGGUUGGUUAGAUUUCCUUUCUAUUCGAGUGAAGGAUUUGGCACCAACUGUGGGCUUUGUUGUGAAAAUGGCCGCAUUGAGGUCUUAUCCUUGGCUAGUCCUUCAAUGGCCAGUAGUUUGUCUUAAGAAGAGCUGAAAAAGGGUGCCUGGGUGGCUCAGUUGGUUAAGCGACUGCCUUCGGCUCAGGUCAUGAUCCUGGAGUCUCGGGAUCGAGUCCCGCAUCGGGCUCCCUGCUCUGCGGGGAGUCUGCUUCUCCCUCUGACCCUCCUCCCUCUCAUGCUCUCUGUCUCUCAUUCUCUCUGUCUCAAAUAAAAAAAAAAGAGCUGAAAAAAAAAAAAAGAAAAAUACGGAUGGUCCAAAUGCACAGUCAAUACUGCUGGGGGCUGAGUGGGGGUGGUGCCUAUCCAGACAGGCUGUGUGGCAGGAAGCCCAGGUCUGAGAUGGCCUGGUUCAGGCCUGUGAGCAGCAUCCGCUCCUCAAAGACAUUGAGUGAGUGGUGUGGUGGGCCCUGGCGCCAUCCCGGGGUGGCCACAGAUCUUGUUAUGGAGAUUACAGACUGAGGUGCAGGAUCUGGGGCUCCAUGUACUCGGACCUGACGCACACAGGGAGUGUGGGAGGAUGUGCGGGGAGUCUUGGCCAGGCUUAGGGGCGCAGGGUCUCAGCUUGACUCACCCCUGCAUCUGCUGCUCUCACUCCCAAGGCCUUUGUGUGCUGGGAAAUUCCUGGGGGAUGGCUAAACCCCACCUCUAUCAGGCCUGAGACUCUUCCUGAGCAGCGAGUUGCUUCAUUCUGCCUAACAGCUUCCUGAAAAUGUAGUCUUGCUACACUGGAGGAAGGCUAGGUCACCGACAAUGUGGGACCCUGAGUCAGCAGGAUUUAACAGGGGAAGCCAGCGC